AGUAAAGUGCCCGAAAUUCAAGGAUUAUCUUGAUAGGAUAAAUUAUGUAGUUAGCUACCUUUACUA
Molecule: transfer RNA, 66 nt
Filed under: Epicauta chinensis
Lineage: Eukaryota; Metazoa; Arthropoda; Insecta; Coleoptera; Meloidae
Also listed under: 1 other name
Description: tRNA-Ile
Source: RNAcentral